CCUAUACAUGCAAGUCGAGCGGUAGAGAGGUGCUUGCACCUCUUGAGAGCGGCGGACGGGUGAGUAAUACCUAGGAAUCUGCCUGGUAGUGGGGGAUAACGUUCGGAAACGGACGCUAAUACCGCAUACGUCCUACGGGAGAAAGCAGGGGACCUUCGGGCCUUGCGCUAUCAGAUGAGCCUAGGUCGGAUUAGCUAGUUGGUGAGGUAAUGGCUCACCAAGGCUACGAUCCGUAACUGGUCUGAGAGGAUGAUCAGUCACACUGGAACUGAGACACGGUCCAGACUCCUACGGGAGGCAGCAGUGGGGAAUAUUGGACAAUGGGCGAAAGCCUGAUCCAGCCAUGCCGCGUGUGUGAAGAAGGUCUUCGGAUUGUAAAGCACUUUAAGUUGGGAGGAAGGGCAUUAACCUAAUACGUUAGUGUUUUGACGUUACCGACAGAAUAAGCACCGGCUAACUCUGUGCCAGCAGCCGCGGUAAUACAGAGGGUGCAAGCGUUAAUCGGAAUUACUGGGCGUAAAGCGCGCGUAGGUGGUUUGUUAAGUUGAAUGUGAAAUCCCCGGGCUCAACCUGGGAACUGCAUCCAAAACUGG
RNAcentral lists this ribosomal RNA (593 nucleotides) under Pseudomonas sp. CF36(2010). Its description in RNAcentral is "bacterial SSU rRNA". It matches the Rfam family "Bacterial small subunit ribosomal RNA", at positions 48 to 636 of the family's 1533-position model. Lineage: Bacteria; Pseudomonadati; Pseudomonadota; Gammaproteobacteria; Pseudomonadales; Pseudomonadaceae. The record is from RNAcentral.